AGGAAGAAUUCCGUAAUGUUUUUCAUGGCUGCUUCCCCAAUCUUCUUCUCCACACAGGGACACUGAAGGGGAACGGCCAAUCAACAUCCAGACCAAUAGACUUGGCAAAGCAGAGAACAAGCUACAGAAGAGGAAAGAUGAACAAUGCUGGCCCUUGUUUGUUGUGGAGCUGGCGUGUGGGAGAGAGGAGGAUAAUGGAAUGCAAUUAACCCAACCCUGGAACAAGGAUGACCCAGCUCCUCCAUCUGACCUGAUAGCCCCAGAGAUUCAAGAUCUUCCUAUAUUUCUCUCAGUUUCAUUGUUAUAAUGUUUUAAUCUCAUCUCUUC
RNAcentral lists this long non-coding RNA (327 nucleotides) under Phascolarctos cinereus (koala). Its description in RNAcentral is "lncRNA (ENSPCIG00000033193.1)". The record is from RNAcentral. Lineage: Eukaryota; Metazoa; Chordata; Mammalia; Diprotodontia; Phascolarctidae.